AGGUAAGGUGGCCGAGAGAUAGGCGGUGGCUUGUAGGUCCAACUCAGGGAGGUUCAAGUCCUCUCCUCACCA
RNAcentral lists this transfer RNA (72 nucleotides) under Craugastor loki (common leaf-litter frog). Its description in RNAcentral is "tRNA-Tyr". It matches the Rfam family "tRNA". From Rfam's summary of the family: Transfer RNA (tRNA) molecules are approximately 80 nucleotides in length. Their secondary structure includes four short double-helical elements and three loops (D, anti-codon, and T loops). Lineage: Eukaryota; Metazoa; Chordata; Amphibia; Anura; Craugastoridae. The record is from RNAcentral.